RNAcentral lists this ribosomal RNA (522 nucleotides) under Bychowskicotyla mormyri. Its description in RNAcentral is "partial 28S ribosomal RNA". Lineage: Eukaryota; Metazoa; Platyhelminthes; Monogenea; Mazocraeidea; Microcotylidae. The record is from RNAcentral.
CCGCUUAGAAGCAAACGGGUGUAGUCAAGCUGCAAGCCUUAAGAAAUAGGUUGGUCAGAAUGGCGUGAGUCUGAGCACAUAGAGCUGCCAGGUAGGUCCGACUAUAUGUUGGGUUCGGCUCGCAAGGGUCGGAUGCGCGAAACGUUUACGCGUUGCGUGCCUACUUGUCAGUUGCUCUACUGGCCCUCUAAAUUUCUUUUGGCGUAUGUCACGACCGUCUUUGCUGUCGGUCUGCUCCAUUUAAACCGUUUCGUGAGUAGUUACGUGCUACUUGCGUUGCGGGGGCAGGUAGCUGAUCUGGUCUCGGCUGGAUUGGUGUAAUUGCUGAGUGGAGUGGUACCUGUAACUGUGCAGUAAGAUGGGGCUGGCGGUGCAUUGUUGCUGUGUGUGCUAAAGUGUGUCGGCGUGGUUGGCGUAUGGCUACUCGUUGCUGUUUCUAACAGCCUUGUGGUUGCCCGACUGCGGUUUGAUGCGCGGCUGCGCACGGUCAAUCUUUGCGUUGUGCCUAUAGUCUGUGGCGUA